GACAGAGGAUGCGAGCGUUAUCCAGAAUGAUUGGGCGUAAAGCGUCUGUAGGUGGCUUUUCAAGUCCGCCGUCAAAUCCCAGGGCUCAACCCUGGACAGGCGGUGGAAACUACCAAGCUGGAGUACGGUAGGGGCAGAGGGAAUUUCCGGUGGAGCGGUGAAAUGCAUUGAGAUCGGAAAGAACACCAACAGCGAAAGCACUCUGCUGGGCCGACACUGACAUUGAGAGAUGAAAGCUAGGGGAGCAAAUGGG
RNAcentral lists this ribosomal RNA (253 nucleotides) under uncultured bacterium. RNAcentral describes it as "partial 16S ribosomal RNA". It matches the Rfam family "Bacterial small subunit ribosomal RNA", at positions 524 to 776 of the family's 1533-position model. The record is from RNAcentral.